Molecule: ribosomal RNA, 386 nt
Filed under: uncultured bacterium
Lineage: Bacteria
Description: bacterial SSU rRNA
Rfam family: Bacterial small subunit ribosomal RNA
Source: RNAcentral
AUUGAACGCUGGCGGCAUGCCUUACACAUGCAAGUCGAACGGCAGCACGGGAGCAAUCCUGGUGGCGAGUGGCGAACGGGUGAGUAAUAUAUCGGAACGUGCCCGGUCGUGGGGAUAACGUAGCGAAAGCUACGCUAAUACCGCAUACGAUCUACGGAUGAAAGCGGGGGAUCGCAAGACCUCGCGCGAUUGGAGCGGCCGAUAUCAGAUUAGGUAGUUGGUGAGGUAAAGGCUCACCAAGCCGACGAUCUGUAGCUGGUCUGAGAGGACGACCGGCCACACUGGGACUGAGACACGGCCCAGACUCCUACGGGAGGCAGCAGUGGGGAAUUUUGGACAAUGGGCGCAAGCCUGAUCCAGCAAUGCCGCGUGCAGGAUGAAGGCCU